RNAcentral lists this ribosomal RNA (422 nucleotides) under Fusobacteriota bacterium. RNAcentral's name for it is "Fusobacteria bacterium partial 16S ribosomal RNA". It matches the Rfam family "Bacterial small subunit ribosomal RNA", at positions 355 to 776 of the family's 1533-position model. The record is from RNAcentral. Lineage: Bacteria; Fusobacteriati; Fusobacteriota.
UGGGGGAUUUUGCACAAUGGGCGCAAGCCUGAUGCAGCGACGCCGCGUGAGGGAUGAAGGCCUUCGGGUUGUAAACCUCUUUCGCUGGGUUGAAAGGCCAUGCUUUGGGUGUGGUUGAUUUGAACUGGUAAAGAAGUACCGGCUAACUACGUGCCAGCAGCCGCGGUAAUACGUAGGGUACUAGCGUUGUCCGGAUUUAUUGGGCGUAAAGGGCUUGUAGGUGUUUUGUCGCGUCUGUCGUGAAAUCCUGUGGCUUAACCAUGGGCUUGCGGUGGGUACGGGCAGGCUUGAGUGCGGUAGGGGAGACUGGAAUUCCUGGUGUAGCGGUGGAAUGCGCAGAUAUCAGGAGGAACACCGGUGGCGAAGGCGGGUCUCUGGGCCGUUACUGACACUGAGGAGCGAAAGCGUGGGGAGCGAACAGG